This 422-nucleotide ribosomal RNA is filed under the name Antheraea assamensis (Indian muga silkmoth). Its description in RNAcentral is "partial 12S ribosomal RNA". The record is from RNAcentral. Lineage: Eukaryota; Metazoa; Arthropoda; Insecta; Lepidoptera; Saturniidae.
UAAACUAGGAUUAGAUACCCUAUUAUUAAAAAAUUAAAUAUAUAAUACUAAAAUAGAAAAUAAUUUAUUGAAACUUUAAUAAAUUGGCGGUAUUUUAGUUCAUUCAGAGGAAUCUGUUUAUUAAUUGAUAGUCCACGAAUAAAAUUGCUAAAUUUAUUAUUUUGUAUAUCAUUGUUAAAAAAAUAUUUUUUAAUAAAAAAAUUAUUUAAAUAUUUUUAAAUAAAAUUAAAUCUGAUCAAGUUGCAGAUUAUAAUUAAGAAUAUAAUAGAAUACAAUAAAUUUAAUUAUUAAUGAAUUUUAAAUUGAAAUAUUUAAUUGAAGGUGGAUUUGAAUCUAAUUUUAUUUAAAUUAAUAUAAUGAUUAAUGAUUAAAAUAUGUACAUAUGCCCGUCGCUUAAUAUUUAUUUUUUUAAAUUAUAUUUA